This is a non-coding RNA of Pseudonaja textilis, 154 nucleotides long. NCBI's taxonomy places the organism in Eukaryota, Metazoa, Chordata, Lepidosauria, Squamata, Elapidae. The record is from RefSeq and is a predicted model, not a curated record.
GACCCAAGGUAUGGCACAAAGGCAACACAAUCAGAUAAUCAAUAUGAGUCCCUUUAUUAUCUCCAACAUUGCCCCCAAUGUCCUGGUUACCUUCUGGCUGGAGAAAAACUCUCCCAUUAACAGCCUUUGGCUGCUGAGAAUCAGGUGCAAAACG